GACGAACGCUGGCGGCGUGCUUAACACAUGCAAGUCGAACGGUAAGGCCCUUCGGGGUACACGAGUGGCGAACGGGUGAGUAACACGUGGGUGAUCUGCCCUGCACUUCGGGAUAAGCCUGGGAAACUGGGUCUCAUACCGGAUAGGACUCCGGACUGCAUGGUCUGGGGUGGAAAGUUUUUGUGGUGUGGGAUGGGCCCGCGGCCUAUCAGCUUGUUGGUGGGGUGAUGGCCUACCAAGGCGACGACGGGUAGCCGGCCUGAGAGGGUGACCGGCCACACUGGGACUGAGAUACGGCCCAGACUCCUACGGGAGGCAGCAGUGGGGAAUAUUGCACAAUGGGCGCAAGCCUGAUGCAGCGACGCCGCGUGAGGGAUGACGGCCUUCGGGUUGUAAACCUCUUUCAGCAUCGACGAAGCGAAAGUGACGGUAGGUGCAGAAGAAGGACCGGCCAACUACGUGCCAGCCGCCGCCGUAA
Molecule: ribosomal RNA, 478 nt
Filed under: uncultured bacterium
Lineage: Bacteria
Description: partial 16S ribosomal RNA
Rfam family: Bacterial small subunit ribosomal RNA
Source: RNAcentral